UACGAAGGGGGCUAGCGUUGCUCGGAAUCACUGGGCGUAAAGGGUGCGUAGGCGGGGCUUUAAGUCAGGGGUGAAAUCCUGGAGCUCAACUCCAGAACUGCCUUUGAUACUGAAGAUCUUGAGUUCGGGAGAGGUGAGUGGAACUGCGAGUGUAGAGGUGAAAUUCGUAGAUAUUCGCAAGAACACCAGUGGCGAAGGCGCCUAUCUGGCUGACAACUGACGCUGAGACUCGAAAGCAUGGGGAGCAAACAGG
This 253-nucleotide ribosomal RNA is filed under the name uncultured bacterium. RNAcentral describes it as "partial 16S ribosomal RNA". It matches the Rfam family "Bacterial small subunit ribosomal RNA", at positions 524 to 776 of the family's 1533-position model. The record is from RNAcentral.